Molecule: ribosomal RNA, 662 nt
Filed under: Cortinarius pavelekii
Lineage: Eukaryota; Fungi; Basidiomycota; Agaricomycetes; Agaricales; Cortinariaceae
Description: eukaryotic LSU rRNA
Rfam family: 5.8S ribosomal RNA (bases 250-403)
Source: RNAcentral
GAUCAUUAUUGAAAUAAACCUGAUGAGUUUGCUGCUGGCUCUCUAGAGAGCAUGUGCACACUUGUCGUCUUUAUAUCUCCACCUGUGCACCUAUUGUAGACCUGGAUAACUCUCUGAAUGCUAGCAUUUCAGAUAUGAGGAUUGACUUUCUGCCUCUCCUUACAUUUCCAGGCCUAUGUUCUUUCAUGUAACCUCAAUGUAUGUUAUGGAAUGUAAUACUAUGGGCUUAUGUGCCUUAUAAACAUAUACAACUUUCAGCAACGGAUCUCUUGGCUCUCGCAUCGAUGAAGAACGCAGCGAAAUGCGAUAAGUAAUGUGAAUUGCAGAAUUCAGUGAAUCAUCGAAUCUUUGAACGCACCUUGCACUCCUUGGUAUUCCGAGGAGUAUGCCUGUUUGAGUGUCAUUAAUAUAUCAACCUCUCAAGCUUUUUGCUUGCUGAGUGUAUGGAUGUGGGGGGGUUAUUUUGCUGGCCUUUUUAUGAGGUCAGCUCCCCUGAAAUGCAUUGGCAGAAUGAUUUGCUGACCGUUCAUUGGUGUGAUAACUAUCUACGCUAUUGACGUUGAAGCAGUUCAGCUUAUAACAGUCCAUUGACUUGGACAACAUAUUUAUUAAUGUGACCUCAAAUCAGGUAGGACUACCCGCUGAACUUAAGCAUAUCAAUA